GGGGCUGUAGUAGGUCCCAAGGGUUGGGCUGUUCGCCCAUUAAAGUGGUACGCGAGCUGGGUUCAGAACGUCGGGAGACAGUUCGGUCCCUAUCCGGCGCAGGCGUAGGAAAUUUGAGAAGACCUGUCCUUAGUACGAGAGGACCGGGAUGGACGUACCUCUGGUGUACCAGUUGUUCUGCCAAGGGCAUGGCUGGGUAGC
Molecule: ribosomal RNA, 201 nt
Filed under: Clostridioides difficile
Lineage: Bacteria; Bacillati; Bacillota; Clostridia; Peptostreptococcales; Peptostreptococcaceae
Description: partial 23S ribosomal RNA
Rfam family: Bacterial large subunit ribosomal RNA
Source: RNAcentral